This 83-nucleotide transfer RNA is filed under the name Xylaria arbuscula. Its description in RNAcentral is "tRNA-Trp". It matches the Rfam family "tRNA". Rfam says of the family: Transfer RNA (tRNA) molecules are approximately 80 nucleotides in length. The record is from RNAcentral. Lineage: Eukaryota; Fungi; Ascomycota; Sordariomycetes; Xylariales; Xylariaceae.
GGACCCAUAGCUCAGCGGUAGAGCAUCUGAUUCCAGCUUAAAUUGCCUCCAGAAGGUCAUCCGUUCAAAUCGGGUUGGGUUCA